CGGUAAUAGGUAGGGGGCGAGCGUUGUCCGGAUUUAUUGGGCGUAAAGAGCUAGUAGGCGGUUCAACAAGUCGGUCGUGAAAGUUCAGGGCUCAACCCUGAAAUGUCGAUCGAUACUGUUGUGACUUGGAUACGGGAGAGGUGAGUGGAAUUCCGAGUGUAGCGGUGAAAUGCGUAGAUAUUCGGAGGAACACCAAUUGCGAAGGCAGCUCACUGGGCCGCUAUCGACGCUGAGGAGCGAAAGCUAGGGGAGCAAACAGG
This 260-nucleotide ribosomal RNA is filed under the name uncultured marine bacterium. RNAcentral's name for it is "partial 16S ribosomal RNA". It matches the Rfam family "Bacterial small subunit ribosomal RNA", at positions 518 to 776 of the family's 1533-position model. The record is from RNAcentral.